This 2932-nucleotide ribosomal RNA is filed under the name Triticum aestivum (bread wheat). RNAcentral's name for it is "partial small subunit ribosomal RNA". The record is from RNAcentral. Lineage: Eukaryota; Viridiplantae; Streptophyta; Magnoliopsida; Poales; Poaceae.
CGCUUCCACGCACGGGUUUGGCUGCAUUCUGAGCCACAUCAGCUCCAUUCAGCCACACGGAGCGAAAGUGCCAUCGGAAAGACGAUUUCAUUUUGCCCUCCGCUGUUAUAUCGACGCCCACCAUUAGCCAGCAGCCUAGCACCACCAUCUUCCGCUCUCCCCUCCCCCCGGAACCCCCUCCCCCCAUCUCCUCCACCUGUUGUCGCUCGCUUGUCCCGGCCUAGGGUUUCGCCUCCACCCGUCCCCGGCUCUCGCCUCAGAUCUCGACGCCGGCGACCCCUGAUCCUCCUUAGUCGUCCGCCGCCGACCCCGCCGAGUUCCGAUUCGCCACUCACCUCACGCCACACCACCGCGUCCUCCAGCCUCUGGACGCGCUCGCGGGGGACAGAUCUAGGGUUUGGGGCCUUGCUUGGUGCAUGAGAAGGGCACCAGGGUCUUGACGGCAUGGAGGUGGAAGCGGCGAGGAGGGAUGCGUCGGCGCUUGACCCGGAGCUGCUGCAGCUGCCAGAGCUCGCGCCGGGCGCGCUCCGGGAGAACUCAAGCAUAGCCGAGGCACUCUACUUGCAGUGGCUCGUGCUGCCUGAGUCGUCCAAGCUGGUGAAAUCUUUGAUUGAAGAUGCAAAAGCCGGUGCCACACUGAAUGUUGCUGGGAGCUCUGCUAGCACAAAUGCCGCUUCAAGUAGUUCUUUGCCGUCAAUGUUCCCUGCUGGUAGUGCCCCCCCACUUUCUCCCAGGAGCACUGCUGGCUCUCCCCGUGUUAUGAGACGAGGAUCUAGUGCUGGACCAUCAUCCUUGGGAUCUCCUCUAAAAUUAGUCAGUGAACCUGUGAGAGAAGUUAUACCCCAGUUUUACUUCAAACAUGGGCGCCCUCCACCAAAAGAUUUGAGGGAGCAGUGUUUGUCUAGACUAGAUCACCUUUUUUUUGCCGGGGAAGGACUCCAGAUUCAAGAAUUCAGACCAGUUAUAAAAGACAUAUGCAAGUUGCCAUCGUACCUCUCUGGUGUUCUUUUCAAGAAGAUUGACGCCACUUGCUCUGGAACUGUAACAAGGGACGCAUUUAUCGAUUACUGGUUUAAUGACAAUAAGAUCACAAUGGACACUGCUACCCAGAUAUUUGAAAUACUAAGAAAGCCAGGCUACAGUUAUCUCACUCAGGAGGAUUUUAAGCCUGUUCUAAAAGAACUCCUGGCAAGUCACCCAGGUUUAGAGUUUUUACAAGGCACUCCUGAGUUUCAGGACAGAUAUGCUGAGACUGUAAUAUACAGAAUCUUCUACUCCAUAAAUAGAUCUGGAAAUGGUCAUCUUACCCUUAGAGAGCUAAAACGUGGGAAUUUAGUAGCUGCAAUGCAGCAACUGGAUGAGGAAGAGGAUAUCAACAAAAUACUGAGAUAUUUCUCAUAUGAGCAUUUUUAUGUAAUCUACUGCAAAUUUUGGGAGCUGGACACAGAUCAUGAUUUCUUGAUUGAUAAAGAGAACCUUAUCAGAUAUGGAAAUCAUUCGUUGACCUAUAGAAUAGUCGAUAGAGUCUUUUCACAGGUCCCAAGGAAAUUCACAAGCAUGACCGAAGGAAAGAUGGGUUAUGAGGAUUUUGUUUACUUCAUCUUGUCAGAGGAAGAUAAAUCAUCUGAGCCUAGCCUUGAGUACUGGUUUAAGUGCAUUGAUCUUGAUGGCAAUGGUAUUUUAACUACCAAUGAAAUGCAGUUUUUCUAUGAGGAGCAGUUGCAUCGUAUGGAGUGCAUGGCACAGGAACCUGUGCUUUUUGAGGACAUACUAUGCCAAAUGAUUGAUAUGAUUGGACCAGAGAAUGAGACAUAUUUUACAUUGAGGGACUUGAAAAAGUGUAAACUCUCGGGAAAUAUAUUCAAUAUCUUAUUUAAUCUGAACAAAUUUAUGGCAUUUGAAACUCGUGAUCCAUUCCUCAUUCGCCAGGAGCGUGAAAAUCCAACUCUAACUGAGUGGGAUCGGUUCGCCCAUAGGGAAUAUAUCAGGCUGUCGAUGGAAGAGGAUGGUGAAGAUGCUUCAAAUGGAAGUGGUGAUGUGUGGGACGAGUCACUUGAAGCUCCAUUCUGAAUCAUGCCUCACACUCCUAAUUGGUUGGAUAUGGAUGAAAUUGGUUGGGAAGUUGAAGAAGUGUAAAGGUUUUGGCUAGCCUGUGGAGGUCAUUGCAGGCUCGAAGCAGUUUCAGUAACACCAAAGACUACUUAUGAGUUUUACUGUGCAGGUCUGAUUUGAUAUUAUCAGUUGUCCAGUUGUGCAAACAUUUUUGCUUGCCAGGAAGAAUGUGGAAGUUGAUGUGAGGGCCUCCUGCAUAUUGACAAGGCAACAACCUCAACAGUCUCAAAGCUAAAGUGGGGAAACUUCUGUGGUCUACCUUUCUCUCAUUGUGUUCUGAUUGUUGCGUUAGGGGGGGGCAGUUUAUUCAAUUGCUGUGCUCGAAUUUUGGAGCUGAACUGUUGAUGUUUGGCUGCCAUUUUCCUUGUUAAUCUGUGGGUGUGCGAGCAAGCAAUGCCAUCAUUAACUUUGAUCAUCGUUUGUAACUUCCUGGUUCUGAUUUCUGUUCAGUUUGGUAUGCGUUUGUUGCGAUUCUUGGUACAUUUUGGUAGGUGGGGAGGGGUCUCAAAACAUGGAUGUGAGUUCGUCAUUUGUAACAUUAACAAGUAACUAUGCAUCAGGUGCAUAAAAUCUAAACAGGAAAGUAGUUUCCAUUGUCAAUCCAGAUUUUGUCGUAGCAUAAAUUUAUAGGAUGUUUCAUUUGUAUAUGCUGCGAUACUGGCAUUUGGUAUUUUGCUUUUCAACUUGUGGAACUCUGCCGUUGUCCAAAGCAUUCUUAUUAGUAAAGUGCCAGUUAUGGUACCGUGAUGAAAUUUGUUGUACUAUGUCAUGUAUGCAAACAUGUUGUACAAUACAUUUCACACGGAACUACAUCUUUUUU